Bos taurus (domestic cattle) is the source of this 1293-nucleotide long non-coding RNA. The record is from Ensembl. NCBI's taxonomy places the organism in Eukaryota, Metazoa, Chordata, Mammalia, Artiodactyla, Bovidae.
ACCCUCUUCUAAUUAACUCCAUAGGAGGCUCCCUUAGCGGCCAUCUCAAGCCGGGUGCCUCCUGUGCUCUGGCCCAGCGACCAAACCAGCUACUUCCUUUUCCUGCUUCCGCUCCUCUCCUUGGGCCAAUCUCCUCCUACCUAGAGGGACCAUUUUUUUCUUUUUAUCUGCCAAAGCACUCUGUUUUUUUUAACAGAAAGAGUGCUAAAUUACCUUUCCCUCCCAACUUUGAUUACUCCAACUAAGGAUCCUAAUCGGUGAAACGUGGGUGUGUUCUUUUGGAAAUGCGUGUGUUUUCACGUCCAGGCAUAAGCAACGCCUUGUUUCAGGGAGCAGCGCCCACACAUUGGUUCAGGACUCCAUGCGUUUGGUAGAAGGCUUGCGGGCUUGGGGCUAGUGUUUUGGUUUUUCUUGCAAACAGUGACGGCUCAUCUAGUGUGCAGUCCUUGGUUCCCGCCCGGAGACUUCCCCGUUCCGCCUUCUCUUCUCUUCCUCGCCCGCAAGGCGCGCUGCCCCUGGGGUUUUCAGCAACUUCCGCAGACCCUCCGCCCGCAUCCCGGCGCGGCGGGGCCGGGGAAGCCCCAGGGCUCCCCAAGCGUUCAGAAGGAAACCAUCUAGGCUACAGACCUUGGAGCGCGGCUGGGGUCCCCCGGGAGCGGAUCGCGGGUCGCGCAGGUCAUUUCCCGGCGGGAACACCACCUCGUCUGAGCUGGGCGGCUUCUCCCGGUCCCCGGCUGCAGGAUGCUGGGCCCCCCGCUGCUCCCUUCCGCGUGGCGGCUCGGGCCGCCAACCGAUCGCCUCUUGCCUCCCCCACUUGAACUCCUGGGGAGACAGUGUUUGUAAAACUUGGCCCUGGCCCAGCCCCGUCCGCCCCACUUUGCCAACAAGAAGAGGGAGGGCAGCUCUGAGCGGCCUCGGGCGAACCUCGCCCCGCCUGCACUUAAGGCGCCGGGCCCAGCCCGCGCCUUCGGGUCUCCAGCCGGGACAGGCGCGCGGACUCCGCUUUGCCAGGGUGCGACCCUCACCUGGGAUUCCAGCUCUGAUAACCAGAUCUGCCUGUCGUCUACCCUCUCUCGGCCUCCCAGGAUCUGCCUGGACAAGGAGUGUGCUGGAAUGGCCCAGAAGGUCUGGGCUGUUCAACCUCCCCCUAAAGGGUUGGGGCGUCCGCCUCUGGAGCCUCAGAGAAUCUCCAUGUCUGGCGAAAACACUUAGAGAUGACAGCUCCCCAUUCUGAGAGCAGAGAGCUGUUUGCUGCCAGCUACACACCACCCCAGAGCCCAGGCUCCUCAUACG